Molecule: ribosomal RNA, 1537 nt
Filed under: Klebsiella pneumoniae
Lineage: Bacteria; Pseudomonadati; Pseudomonadota; Gammaproteobacteria; Enterobacterales; Enterobacteriaceae
Also listed under: 2 other names
Description: 16S ribosomal RNA
Rfam family: Bacterial small subunit ribosomal RNA
Source: RNAcentral
AAAUUGAAGAGUUUGAUCAUGGCUCAGAUUGAACGCUGGCGGCAGGCCUAACACAUGCAAGUCGAGCGGUAGCACAGAGAGCUUGCUCUCGGGUGACGAGCGGCGGACGGGUGAGUAAUGUCUGGGAAACUGCCUGAUGGAGGGGAUAACUACUGGAAACGGUAGCUAAUACCGCAUAAUGUCGCAAGACCAAAGUGGGGGACCUUCGGGCCUCAUGCCAUCAGAUGUGCCCAGAUGGGAUUAGCUAGUAGGUGGGGUAACGGCUCACCUAGGCGACGAUCCCUAGCUGGUCUGAGAGGAUGACCAGCCACACUGGAACUGAGACACGGUCCAGACUCCUACGGGAGGCAGCAGUGGGGAAUAUUGCACAAUGGGCGCAAGCCUGAUGCAGCCAUGCCGCGUGUGUGAAGAAGGCCUUCGGGUUGUAAAGCACUUUCAGCGGGGAGGAAGGCGGUGAGGUUAAUAACCUCAUCGAUUGACGUUACCCGCAGAAGAAGCACCGGCUAACUCCGUGCCAGCAGCCGCGGUAAUACGGAGGGUGCAAGCGUUAAUCGGAAUUACUGGGCGUAAAGCGCACGCAGGCGGUCUGUCAAGUCGGAUGUGAAAUCCCCGGGCUCAACCUGGGAACUGCAUUCGAAACUGGCAGGCUAGAGUCUUGUAGAGGGGGUAGAAUUCCAGGUGUAGCGGUGAAAUGCGUAGAGAUCUGGAGGAAUACCGGUGGCGAAGGCGGCCCCUGGACAAAGACUGACGCUCAGGUGCGAAAGCGUGGGGAGCAAACAGGAUUAGAUACCCUGGUAGUCCACGCCGUAAACGAUGUCGAUUUGGAGGUUGUGCCCUUGAGGCGUGGCUUCCGGAGCUAACGCGUUAAAUCGACCGCCUGGGGAGUACGGCCGCAAGGUUAAAACUCAAAUGAAUUGACGGGGGCCCGCACAAGCGGUGGAGCAUGUGGUUUAAUUCGAUGCAACGCGAAGAACCUUACCUGGUCUUGACAUCCACAGAACUUUCCAGAGAUGGAUUGGUGCCUUCGGGAACUGUGAGACAGGUGCUGCAUGGCUGUCGUCAGCUCGUGUUGUGAAAUGUUGGGUUAAGUCCCGCAACGAGCGCAACCCUUAUCCUUUGUUGCCAGCGGUCCGGCCGGGAACUCAAAGGAGACUGCCAGUGAUAAACUGGAGGAAGGUGGGGAUGACGUCAAGUCAUCAUGGCCCUUACGACCAGGGCUACACACGUGCUACAAUGGCAUAUACAAAGAGAAGCGACCUCGCGAGAGCAAGCGGACCUCAUAAAGUAUGUCGUAGUCCGGAUUGGAGUCUGCAACUCGACUCCAUGAAGUCGGAAUCGCUAGUAAUCGUAGAUCAGAAUGCUACGGUGAAUACGUUCCCGGGCCUUGUACACACCGCCCGUCACACCAUGGGAGUGGGUUGCAAAAGAAGUAGGUAGCUUAACCUUCGGGAGGGCGCUUACCACUUUGUGAUUCAUGACUGGGGUGAAGUCGUAACAAGGUAACCGUAGGGGAACCUGCGGUUGGAUCACCUCCUUA